AAAGAAUCGAUGACAAUAUUGUAUUAACAUCAAAGUAUUUUAAAGGGGUUAUUAAGGAUAACUAUCAAAUUUAUAUAAAAGGAGGGUAAUAACCAAAUGCUUUCUAAAAUAUUAAUUAUUUUAGAUUCUGGAAAGCGAUCCUAAGGUAAACCUUAAGUAUUAAAUACUUCCUGAAGUAAAACAUUUUAUUAAGGAAAGGAAAGGAAAUCAACCGAGACUCCGAAAGUAAUGGUGAGUGAAAUCGGAUUAGCCUAAUUUAAUUUAUAAAUUGAAUUAAUAAAAAUCUUUAUUUUAUUAGAGUAGUAUGAUUCUUACUUUAUUAAAAUUUUUUAUUUUUAUUGGCAUAUUAAUAAUAAUUUUAUUAAUAUUGUUUCUAGAAUAGGUAAAAAUCUAAGUCCUGUAAAUUUAUAAAAAAAAAGUUAAAUUAAAUAUUAAAAGUACGACGAGAGAUAACUUGUUGGAAUAUAGGGGAACCAUCCUCUAAGGCUAAGUAUUAUAAAUUUAGAGAUAGUGAACAAGUACUGUGAAGGAAAGUAAUUGAAAUAGAAUGUUGUAAACACUACGUAGAAAAUUUAAAAUUUUUAAUUAAAUUUUCAUAUGAAAUAACUUGAAUUAGUAACUCUAUAAGCAGUCGAAAUUCUACUUUAAUAAAGAUUAAUGAAUGACGGCGUACCUUUUGCAUAAUGGGUCAGCAAGUUAAUAGGAGUAGCAAGGUUAAAAGCCCUAGCGAAAGCGACUGGACUAUAUAUUGAUAUAGUGAUGGAUAAGUUACUUCUAUUAGACCCGAAGCGAAGUGAUCUUACUUGGACCAGAUUAUAAUGGAUCGAACGGGUGAAUGUUGCAUAAUUCUCCGAAGAGUUCAGGUAAGCGGCGAAAUACCAAUCUGACUUCGUGCUAUCUGGUUUUCUACCGAAACAUAUUUAAGUAUGACAUCUACAGUAAUAGAUUUAUGGAGGUACAGAAAGGCAGCUCCCAACAAGAAUUAGGUUUAAAUGUAAAGUGUAAAAAUUUUACAUUAACCUUUUUGGCGUUUAGGUUGCGGGGACGUAGAAAUCUUACCUUUGGAGGAGAAUCUCGGAAUUACAUAAAUUGAUAGUAGAUAUUCAGACUAUUCAUGCUAAGUUGAAUAGUCAAGACGGAAACAGCCGAGAACACAGAUCAAGGUCCCAAAUGAUUGUUAAGUGAAAUUAAGGACGUAGCAAAAUCGUAUACAGCUGAAAAGUGAGCCUGGUAGUCGCUACUUAUAAUGAUCGUACGUAACAACGCAUCAGCAGUUUAGAUUGCAGCGCCGAAAAUUUAACGGGUCUAAAACAAUCAACCGAUAUCGUGUUGGUAUAGAAUUAAAAUGUUUAUUAAUUUUAAUUCUUUAUCUAGGUAGUAGAACAUUCAGUCAAUCUAUUGAAAAAAUAGUGUUUCAUUAUUUAUAUAGGCAACUGAAGAGAGAAUGCUGACAUGAGUAACGUAAAAGAAGUUAAUAAUACUUCUCGCCGAAAACGAAAGGGUUGCACUAAAAAGAUUAAAUCGUAGUGUGUUAAUGCGGCCUCUAAGGACCCUAACCAAAGUUAUGGCUGAUGAGUAAAUAAUAGAAAGUCCUUUUAUAAAAGACCAGGAAAUUAAUAUUAAUAAUAUUAUUAUAUUAAUAAAUUUAAAAAGUAAAGACUAUAUUUAUAUUAUUUUAUAUAAGUUAAGUAUAGUCUGAUUAUUAAUAUGAUUUAUUUUACUACCGUACCCUAAACCGACACAGGUUCGUAGGUAGAGAAUACUAAGGCGUAGAGCUAAAAGUUGUUAAGGAACUCGGCAAGAUUAACUCAUAAGUUUGACGACAAGAGUUACCACUUAUAUAUUUUUAUUUAAGAGAUAAAUUAUAUAGGGAGGUGUCACAGAAUCGGAGGCCCCGACUGUUUACUAAAAACACAAUUCAGUGCAAUGAUGAAUAUCAUAGUAUACUGAAUGAAAUUUGCCCGAUGCCAUUAAUAUAAGAGAGGUUAUUGAAAAAUGUAACUAAUUGAAAGUCUGGUUAAUAGCGGUCUUAACCAUGAGGAUCCUAAGGUAGCAAAAUCAGUUGGCCUUUAAAUGAGGUCCGGUAUCAAUAGUGUAACGAUGGUCUCACUGUCUCUACAACUUGCUCAGUGAAAUUGAAUUACCCGUGAAGAUGCGGGUUAUCUUCAGAGGGACGGGAAGACCCUAUGCAGCUUCUACUGUAGUUAGUUAUCAUGUAAAUCUAGAACAGCCUUCUCCAAUAGAGAAUAGGGAUGUCGAUAGACUAAUUUUGGAAACCUUAUAGUUAAGGCUGGGUUUAUGUUUACCUAUUUUGUAUUCUAACGAACAAAAAGGGAGAGUUGACUAAUUGGCAGUUUGACUGGGGCGGUCGUCUUUAAUAGAGUAGCAAAGUACAUCCAAUUUUUUCCACAAUGGCCCAGCCAUAAAAAUAAUUAAUUAAAUCAAAGCCUUGUUAGGCCAAAAAAAAUCAUUUCUAAUUUUAACAAAUAAUUUCUGCUGCAUAGCAUGCGCGGAUAAUUUUCCCCUGCUUGCGCAGCAGCCAAGCACAAAUAAUUUCUUGCCAUUGUUACUAAUACUAAGUAUUAUGUAAUAGCACGCUUUUUUAAAUUUAAUAAAUUUAAUUAAAGAAAAGAAAUAAUUAAUUAAAAAUUUUAAUUAAGAAAAUAAAAAACCUAGUUGGCCUCCUUUUUUUAAAGUAAGUAGGAAAAUCAUAAUAUUUGAUUUUUAUCUCCCAUUUCUUCGAAGAUCGAAGAUCGAAGAUCGAAGAUCGAGCUAUUUUUAAUAGUAAUAAUAAAUUCCCUCCGGCCUCCGGAGAGAUUGAAAAAUGUAGAAGUUUAAUUAUUUUAUUUUAUAAAAUAGGGGGGAUGGUCAAUUAGAAAAAAAAAAAUUUUUCUUUUGCAGUAGUAAAUUCUAGCUACGCAGCAAAAAUUAAUAAAUUGAAAAAUAUUUUUAUUUUUCAAAAAACAUUAGUAAUUAAAAGGUAUAGCUAGAAAUUGUAUGGAGAACAAUCAACCAGUGAAGGGUUGCGCAGAGUUCAAUGGCGGAAAGCAUGCUUAACUGAAAGACCUAUAAGUCGCACAGAUACGUAAGUAGGGCAUAGUGACCCCUCGCUAUAGUAUGGAAUAGACGGGGAACAAUAGAUAAAAGUUACGCUAGGGAUAACAGGCUGAUCACCGACGAGAGUACACAUUGUCUCGGUGGUUUGGCACCUCGAUGUCGACUCAUCCUAUCCUCCGGGGGAAGAAGCUUGGAAGGGUUCGGCUGUUCGCCGAUUAAAAGGGUACGCGAGUUGGGUUUAAUACGACGUGAGUCAGUAUGGUCCCUAUCUUCUGAAGAGAUAAGUAGUAAAAAGGGGCAGACCUUCUAGUACGAAAGGAUCAAUAGGCUGUGUUUCUCUAGUGUACCAAUUGUUUUAACUUUAUUAUAAGGGACUCAAUUUUAUUGAGGAAAAUCCUUUUUAUUAUUUAUUAUUCAUUUGUUUGCACCUAAGAAAUUAGGUUAAGGGAUUUUUUAAUAAUUAAAAGGUAAUAAUUAGGAACGCAUAGUUGGGUAGCCACAAACAUAAAAGAUAAGUGCUGAAUGUAUAUCAAGCAAGAAUCUAACCUCUGGAUACUAAAAAUGGAUAAUUACAAUUUUUAUUAUUAAUUUUAUUUUUAGCCCUAAAAAAGCUAAAGAAUCAAAUAAAAGUUAAUAGUUAUUAAGAAAGGGAGACUUUUCUUA
This 3720-nucleotide ribosomal RNA is filed under the name Marasmius crinis-equi. RNAcentral describes it as "large subunit ribosomal RNA". It matches the Rfam family "Bacterial large subunit ribosomal RNA". Lineage: Eukaryota; Fungi; Basidiomycota; Agaricomycetes; Agaricales; Marasmiaceae. The record is from RNAcentral.